AUUGAACGCUGGCGGAAUGCUUUACACAUGCAAGUCGAACGGCAGCACGGGGGCAGCCCUGGUGGCGAGUGGCGAACGGGUGAGUAAUACAUCGGAACGUGCCCGGUCGUGGGGGAUAACGUAGCGAAAGUUACGCUAAUACCGCAUACGAUCUGAGGAUGAAAGCGGGGGACCUUCGGGCCUCGCGCGACCGGAGCGGCCGAUGUCAGAUUAGGUAGUUGGUGGGGUAAAGGCCUACCAAGCCGACGAUCUGUAGCUGGUCUGAGAGGACGACCAGCCACACUGGGACUGAGACACGGCCCAGACUCCUACGGGAGGCAGCAGUGGGGAAUUUUGGACAAUGGGCGCAAGCCUGAUCCAGCCAUUCCGCGUGCAGGACGAAGGCCUUCGGGUUGUAAACUGCUUUUGUACGGAACGAAAAGGCUCUGGCUAAUACCUGGGGCUCAUGACGGUACCGUAAGAAUAAGCACCGGCUAACUACGUG
RNAcentral lists this ribosomal RNA (484 nucleotides) under uncultured bacterium. Its description in RNAcentral is "partial 16S ribosomal RNA". It matches the Rfam family "Bacterial small subunit ribosomal RNA", at positions 30 to 507 of the family's 1533-position model. The record is from RNAcentral.